This is a long non-coding RNA of Helianthus annuus (common sunflower), 754 nucleotides long. RefSeq lists it as uncharacterized. The transcript has 3 exons. The record is from RefSeq and is a predicted model, not a curated record. Lineage: Eukaryota; Viridiplantae; Streptophyta; Magnoliopsida; Asterales; Asteraceae.
UCAAAAUUGCUUUGGGAAUUGAUGUUGACAGCAAUUAGCAUAACCAGGAAAUUUAAGGCAUUUUUAAAUAUCACACCAGAGGCUAAGCUAAAUGCAUCAAGAUCAAAGUGGUUGAUGAGUUUGUUUAUUAGCUGAUCCAGACCAAGACUGAACAAAUGAACAGGGGACAAGAUGAUUUCUAUUGAAGAAAGAAGACAUUCUAUCAAGGUUUCUGCAUAGCAACAACACACAUCCAAAGUCACAGAUGUUGAAGAAUUUGCAAACAGUGUGAGUGAAGAAAGCCUAGAAAUGAUACAAUAUCUUAAUGCAGAUUUUAACGAAACUCUCAAGACUCUUUCAUGCAGUUCCCAUGCUUGGUGCAUUGAGUAUGUUCAAUGAUUACAUUUCAAUACGGAAAUUACGUUAGCUGCUUUGAUUUUGGUAAACAUGUAAAUUAAGCAUUUUCCUCGUUAGCUUAGAUCAGAAGCUUCUGUAUAGCGGAACAACAGAAUAUGUUAUAUAUUACAACAAAAUUUUGCAGGGACUUAAGACCAUGACAUCCUAAAGGAUCUUGUAGGUGAUGGAACAUUCACAGUUGACCAGGAAAAAAUUGUGAUAAGAGAGAUUUUGGCAGUGUAAGUUCCUUUCAGUCAACAACAUAUGACUACUGCAUAAUAUAUACAAUGACCUGGUUUUGACUAUUGGCAUUGAUGAUAUAACACAGGGUUUAUUCAUGUUGGAUUUGAUUGUUAAAGUUGCUUUGGGAAUUGAUAUU